GUUGACAAAGCCAAACCCGUUGUGAUGCGGGGACGGAAAGUUCCGGGUCUUUUUAAGAUAGCCGGGCUGCCUAAU
RNAcentral lists this non-coding RNA (75 nucleotides) under Desulfobacterales bacterium. Its description in RNAcentral is "c-di-GMP sequence". It matches the Rfam family "c-di-GMP-I-GGC riboswitch aptamer". Lineage: Bacteria; Pseudomonadati; Thermodesulfobacteriota; Desulfobacteria; Desulfobacterales. The record is from RNAcentral.